GACGAACGCUGGCGGCGUGCUUAACACAUGCAAGUCGAACGAUGAAGCCGGAGCUUGCUCCGGUGGAUUAGUGGCGAACGGGUGAGUAACACGUGAGCAAUCUACCCUUGACUCUGGGAUAACUGCGGGAAACUGUAGCUAAUACCGGAUACGACACCUUGGGGCAUCCCAGGGUGUGGAAAGAAUUUCGGUCAAGGAUGAGCUCGCGGCCUAUCAGCUAGUUGGGGGGGUAAUGGCUCACCAAGGCGACGACGGGUAGCCGGCCUGAGAGGGUGACCGGCCACACUGGAACUGAGACACGGUCCAGACGCCUACGGGAGGCAGCAGUGGGGAAUAUUGCACAAUGGGCGAAAGCCUGAUGCAGCAACGCCGCGUGAGGGAUGAAGGCCUUCGGGUUGUAAACCUCUUUUAGCAGGGAAGAAGCGAAAGUGACGGUACCUGCAGAAAAAGCACCGGCUAACUACGUGCCAGCCGCCGCAGUAA
This 483-nucleotide ribosomal RNA is filed under the name uncultured bacterium. Its description in RNAcentral is "partial 16S ribosomal RNA". It matches the Rfam family "Bacterial small subunit ribosomal RNA", at positions 28 to 523 of the family's 1533-position model. The record is from RNAcentral.